UACGUAGGGUGCAAGCGUUGUCCGGAAUUAUUGGGCGUAAAGAGCUCGUAGGCGGUUUGUCGCGUCGAAUGUGAAAACCCGGGGCUCAACCCCGGGCCUGCAUUCGAUACGGGCAGACUAGAGUUCGGUAGGGGAGUCUGGAAUUCCUGGUGUAGCGGUGAAAUGCGUAGAUAUCAGUCGGAACACCGGUGGCGAAGGCGGCUUCUUGGGCCCUACCUGACGCUGAGGCGCGAAAGCCAGGGGAGCGAACGGG
This 253-nucleotide ribosomal RNA is filed under the name uncultured bacterium. RNAcentral describes it as "partial 16S ribosomal RNA". It matches the Rfam family "Bacterial small subunit ribosomal RNA", at positions 524 to 776 of the family's 1533-position model. The record is from RNAcentral.